CGGCUGCACUUAAUAACCUUAGGCUGCCUACGUACCCUCCUUGAGGGAUCAAGCCACACGUAGUUCUUUCCUAAAACCCAAUUCCACACUUGGGCGAUAUCUUAUUUCAUUUCUCUGUAUCCCACAUAAUCUCUCCAUACGCCGGUACAACCAACGCCACGUAUGGGGCCUGUCAACACGCCGGAUAACCUACGCCACGUGCGACCAUGCCAUACUAUCAUAAUAUCUCCCCAUACGCCGGUACAACCAACGCCACGUAUGGAGCCUGUCCCAACGCCGAAUAACCUACGCCACGCGGGACCUCAACAUCAUAUCACAAAUCUCCCCAUACGCCGCUACAACCAACGCCACGUAUGGGGUCUGUCGACACGCCGGAUAACUUACGCCACGUGCGACCUCAACACAAUAUCACAUGGCUCCCCAUACGCCGGUACAACCAACGCCACGUAUGGGGUCUGUCUCAACACCGGAUAACCUACGCCACGUGAGACCUGAACAUAAUAUCACAAAUCUCCUUAUACGCCGG
Molecule: long non-coding RNA, 526 nt
Filed under: Prunus persica (peach)
Lineage: Eukaryota; Viridiplantae; Streptophyta; Magnoliopsida; Rosales; Rosaceae
Description: long non-coding RNA (PPER_LNC004298)
Source: RNAcentral